Molecule: ribosomal RNA, 771 nt
Filed under: uncultured bacterium
Lineage: Bacteria
Description: bacterial SSU rRNA
Rfam family: Bacterial small subunit ribosomal RNA
Source: RNAcentral
CUGGAUCUAUUGCGCGUAAAGGGUGCGUAGCCGGCCCAUUCAAGUCAGGCGUGUAAUUCAGACGCCUUCACCUCUGAACUGCGCUUGAAACUGUUUGCCCUGAGUGGAGUAGAGGCAGAUGGAAUCUCCAGUGUAGCGGUGAAAUGCGUAGAUAUUGGAAGGAACACCAGUGGCGAAGGCGAUCUGCUGGGCUCUAACUGACGCUGAGGCACGAAAGCAUGGGGAGCAAACAGGAUUAGAUACCCCUGGUAGUCCAUGCCGUCAACGAUGAUUACUAGGUGUGGGGGGACUGACCCCUUCCGUGCCGGAGUUAACACAAUAAGUAAUCCACCUGGGAAGUACGAUCGCAAGGUUGAAACUCAAAGGAAUUGACGGGGGCCCGCACAAGCAGUGGAGUAUGUGGUUUAAUUCGACGAUACGCGAAGAACCUUACCAGGUCUUGACAUUGAUUGAAAGCUUAGAGAUAAGCCGUGCCCUUCGGGGAACAUGAAAACAGGUGGUGCAUGGUUGUCGUCAGCUCGUGUCGUGAGAUGUUGGGUUAAGUCCCGCAACGAGCGCAACCCCUACGGUUAGUUACUACGCAAGAGCACUCUAACAGGACUGCCGUUGACAAAACGGAGGAAGGUGGGGAUGACGUCAAAUCAUCAUGCCCUUUAUGACUUCGGUCACCCACCUACUACAACCGCCACCACCACAGGGAUACAAGGGAGCGAUCCGGAGUCAACCCCCAAAAGCGGUCUCAGUUCAGAUUGCAGGUUGCAACUCGCCUGU